Saccostrea cuccullata (small rock oyster) is the source of this 418-nucleotide long non-coding RNA. RefSeq lists it as uncharacterized. The transcript has 3 exons. The record is from RefSeq and is a predicted model, not a curated record. NCBI's taxonomy places the organism in Eukaryota, Metazoa, Mollusca, Bivalvia, Ostreida, Ostreidae.
AAGGACCUCCAGCACUCACAGCAUCGGAUUUUGAAACCACGUGUAGAGGCAUAUGCAACCAAAAAUUAUAAUGAUACAGAUGAUUUUGAAGCAGAUUGUCCUGUUUCUGAAGUGACCACGAUUUAUGACCUUGGAAAAGGGGUCACGAUAAGAACUGAAGAAGAAAAUUCAGCAUUAAACUUACAUGCCGUCCAGUUAACUCGCUACCCUAAGUAUUCUUCGUCGACAAAAAAGACUUUUGGUGACAAGCAGUAUUUUCCAGUCAGCACCAGUAUUACAGGUAGUACGAAUUCGUUUGCUGACACGCAUGUAUAGUGACCUACUGAAGUAUAGCACCAGGAACUUCUAGAAUAUUGUAAAAAUACACUUUACGUGGUGCUGUGCAUCCAGGAUAAGAAUUCCUUCUAAAGGCAUUCAU